Molecule: non-coding RNA, 1782 nt
Organism: Musa acuminata subsp. malaccensis (wild Malaysian banana)
Lineage: Eukaryota; Viridiplantae; Streptophyta; Magnoliopsida; Zingiberales; Musaceae
Source: RefSeq, a predicted model, not a curated record
CUCGUCUUCUCUUCUCUUCGCCUUCCCCCACACCUCUCCCGUGGUCGUCCUUCUGUCCUCGCAUUCAUCCUCAAGCCCCCGCGCUUGUUCGAUUUCUGCUAUUUUCUGCUCCAAGGAGACCGUUGAUUCAUUGUCUUUUUCUUUGGGUUUGUUGGAGCUAGGGUUUGGGUUCGUCGAUGUCGGUUGCGGAGCUGAAGGAGCGGCACAUAGCCGCGACGGCUACGGUCAAUUCUCUGAGGGAGCGGUUGAAGCAGAGGAGGCAGUUGCUUCUUGAUACUGAUGUGGCGGCGUUUGCUAAGAGCCAAGGGAGAUCGGCGAUCAGUUUUAACUCCACGGAUCUGAUUUGCUGCAGGACCUUGCAGGGCCACACUGGCAAGGUUUAUUCAUUGGACUGGACACCUGAAAGGAAUCGGAUAGUUAGUGCUUCACAAGAUGGGAGACUGAUUGUAUGGAAUGCUUUAACGAGUCAGAAAACACAUGCUAUAAAACUUCAGUGCCCCUGGGUCAUGACCUGUGCAUUUGCGCCGAAUGGGCAGUCUGUUGCAUGUGGAGGACUUGACAGUGCCUGCUCUAUUUUCAAUCUCAAUUCUCAAGUUGACAGAGAUGGCAACAUUCCAGUUUCAAGGAUACUUACCGGGCACAAGGGCUAUGUGUAUUCUUGUCAGUAUGUUCCAGAUCAAGAAACUCGCUUGAUUACCAGUUCAGGCGAUCAAACAUGUGUUCUGUGGGAUGUCACAACUGGCCAAAGGAUUUCUGUUUUUGGUGGUGAAUUUCCUUCAGGACACACAGCUGAUGUAUUGAGUGUCUCAAUUAACAGUUCAAACUCGAACAUGUUUGUCUCUGGUUCAUGUGAUAUGACUGCUCGAUUAUGGGAUACUCGAAUUGCUAGUCGGGCAGUUGGGACAUACCAUGGUCACCAGGGUGAUGUUAACACUGUCAAGUUCUUCCCUGAUGGGCAGAGAUUUGGGACUGGCUCUGAUGACAGUACAUGCAGGUUAUAUGACAUGAGAACUGGGCACCAGCUUCAGGUGUACAGUCAACAGCAUGAAGGUGAUGACAAUGAUGUUCCAAUUGUCACAUCCAUUGCGUUCUCUAUAUCAGGAAGACUUCUAUUCGCUGGAUACUCCAGUGGUGACUGUUAUGUGUGGGAUACACUAAUGGCUGAGGUGGUUCUGAAUUUGGGAACAUCUCAGAAUUCUCAUGAGGCCCGCAUAAGCUGCUUAGGUUUGUCUUCUGAUGGUAGUGCUUUAUGCACAGGAAGCUGGGACAAGAACUUAAAGAUUUGGGCGUUUGGAGGGCAUAGGAAGGUUAUCUGAGUCUCGUCAUUGGUAUUGAUGAUGCGAGCCUUUGAGGAUAUCAAUGUGAAGCUUAACUUGCACUACUUGCAAAGAACAAACGUUGCACGCACGUUGGAGUCAGUUUGUUGUAUCCUCGACUCAAGAGGCCAUACCUGCAUGAUGUUUAGAACCCAAUACUCUGUGGAGCACUGUGUGGUGUAUGUCUGCACAAGAAUCUCAUAUAGAAGUGACUCAUUAUGGAUGGAUAAGAAAAUAUCCUAGCUUAUAAUGGUCUCUAUUCUCUUUUUUCUCACUAUUGGAAUUUUGACAAUUUGUAUUCCCACCUUGACUAUCUGGACUGCCACAAAUGCUGCCCAUACGGAUGAAAGAACUGUUAAUUCCUUCCAGUAGAUGUUAUCCUUUAUAAGUAGCAGCAGUAUAAUAUUGACUGGUAUUAAACAGUGUCAUUCUACAUGGAGAAUUAAAAGGCUGUCUUUAGAUGCUA